GGGUGCGUGAUAAAUGUCAUCGCGCAGGAAUCGAGGUGGUCGGGCCGCCACCU
This 53-nucleotide non-coding RNA is filed under the name unclassified sequences. RNAcentral's name for it is "Li+-I sequence". It matches the Rfam family "nhaA-I RNA". From Rfam's summary of the family: Acidobacteria, Alphaproteobacteria, Betaproteobacteria and Gammaproteobacteria, Verrucomicrobia, cand. division NC10. Downstream gene The record is from Rfam by way of RNAcentral.